AGUGUAAUUUCUGGGUCACAUGGUACUAGCAUGCUUACUUUUUAAAGAAACUGACAAACUAUUUUCCAAGGUAGACAUACCAUUUUGUUUUCCUACGAAAACU
Molecule: microRNA precursor, 103 nt
Filed under: Marmota monax (woodchuck)
Lineage: Eukaryota; Metazoa; Chordata; Mammalia; Rodentia; Sciuridae
Source: RNAcentral